AACUCAGUUGGUAGAGCAUGGCGCUUGCAACGCUAGGGUUGUGGGUUCAAUUCCCAU
Molecule: transfer RNA, 57 nt
Filed under: Salmo salar (Atlantic salmon)
Lineage: Eukaryota; Metazoa; Chordata; Actinopteri; Salmoniformes; Salmonidae
Rfam family: tRNA
About the family: Transfer RNA (tRNA) molecules are approximately 80 nucleotides in length. Their secondary structure includes four short double-helical elements and three loops (D, anti-codon, and T loops).
Source: Rfam by way of RNAcentral